GUGAAUCAUCGAAUUUUUGAACGCAAAUUGCGCUUCCUGGUAUCCCGGGGAGUAUGCCUGUUUGAGGGUCAGUAUUAACAAAAAAUCGGUUAGGUUGCAAAUUGUGACGUUUCCGGAGGUUGGGUUGAGCUUAAGUUUUUUGGUUAAGGGGCUUAAAAUUGACCUUUUUUGCGUCUUGUUAGACGUACAUAAAUUUUUUUUUAUUCGUCUAUUUUU
Molecule: unclassified non-coding RNA, 216 nt
Filed under: Glomeraceae sp.
Lineage: Eukaryota; Fungi; Glomeromycota; Glomeromycetes; Glomerales; Glomeraceae
Description: partial contains 5.8S ribosomal RNA and internal transcribed spacer 2
Rfam family: 5.8S ribosomal RNA (bases 1-71)
Source: RNAcentral